UAGGACUCUCGGCAAUGGAUAUCUUGGCUCUUGCAUCGAUGAAGAGCGCAGCGAAAUGCGAUACGUGGUGUGAAUUGCAUAAUCCCGUGAACCAUCGAGUUUUUGAACGCAAGUUGCGCCCGAGGCCAAUUGGCUAAGGGCACGUCCGCCUGGGCGUCAAGC
This 162-nucleotide ribosomal RNA is filed under the name Pterostylis roensis. RNAcentral's name for it is "5.8S ribosomal RNA". It matches the Rfam family "5.8S ribosomal RNA". Rfam says of the family: 5.8S ribosomal RNA (5.8S rRNA) is a component of the large subunit of the eukaryotic ribosome. Lineage: Eukaryota; Viridiplantae; Streptophyta; Magnoliopsida; Asparagales; Orchidaceae. The record is from RNAcentral.